AAAACCUAGUAAGGUUUGAAUAUCCUGAAUAGUUUUGCUCCGAGUUGGAUUUUGUUUUACAACGCUGUGGAGAACAUGAAUCGUUUUGGAUUAUAAAAAACUGAAUUUAUCAGACAAAACGAUACUUGGCUAAAUCUCUGGGACCAUCAUGAUGAGAAAUCAGAAGACGGCUCAUUCCUGAAGUUUGUUUUUCCUGAGUUUCCUGAACACAUACCGGCUGAAUCUCCAACCACUUACACCUGCUGCGAUCUGCACACCCGGUCCUGAUUACCAUUCUCUGCACCAUAUAAGCCGCGACCAGACAUCCAUUCCCUGCCGGAUCGUUAGCGUAACCAUUUCUCACCUGGAUUGUCACUCACACCUGCCUGGCUGUCUACUUCACUGCAGCACAUUUUGGAUCAGCACACAACCCUCCAUUCUUCCAGCCUCACUCCCUGUCGACCAA
This is a long non-coding RNA of Esox lucius (northern pike), 445 nucleotides long. RefSeq lists it as uncharacterized. The record is from RefSeq and is a predicted model, not a curated record. NCBI's taxonomy places the organism in Eukaryota, Metazoa, Chordata, Actinopteri, Esociformes, Esocidae. The transcript has 3 exons.